This 196-nucleotide microRNA precursor is filed under the name Oryza sativa Japonica Group (Japanese rice). Its description in RNAcentral is "MIR812 microRNA precursor family". It matches the Rfam family "MIR812 microRNA precursor family". Lineage: Eukaryota; Viridiplantae; Streptophyta; Magnoliopsida; Poales; Poaceae. The record is from Rfam by way of RNAcentral.
AAAAAGACAAACCCUAGGUUUCUGUGUCCAACGUUUGAUUGUCCGUCUUAUAUGAAUUUUUUUUUAUAAUUACUAUUUUCAUUGUUGUUAGAUGAUAAAACAUGAUUAAUACUUUAUGCGUGACUUGUCUUUUUAAUUUUUUCAAAUAAGACGGACGGUUAAACGUUGGAUACGAAAACCCAGGGUUUGUCUUUUU